This 253-nucleotide ribosomal RNA is filed under the name uncultured bacterium. RNAcentral's name for it is "partial 16S ribosomal RNA". It matches the Rfam family "Bacterial small subunit ribosomal RNA", at positions 524 to 776 of the family's 1533-position model. The record is from RNAcentral.
UACGUAGGGAGCGAGCGUUGUCCGGAAUCAUUGGGCGUAAAGAGCAUGUAGGUGGAUCAAUUAGUCUGCUGUGAAAGUCAAAGGCUCAACCUUUGAAAGCCGGUGGAUACUGUUGAUCUAGAGUACGGAAGAGGCGAGUGGAAUUCCUGGUGUAGCGGUGGAAUGCGCAGAUAUCAGGAGGAACACCUAUUGCGAAGGCAGCUCGCUGGGACGUAACUGACGCUGAGACGCGAAAGCGUGGGGAGCAAACAGG